CCUACGGGAGGCAGCAGUGAGGAAUAUUGGUCAAUGGGCGCGAGCCUGAACCAGCCAAGUAGCGUGAAGGAUGACUGCCCUACGGGUUGUAAACUUCUUUUAUAAAGGAAUAAAGUGAGGCACGUGUGCCGUUUUGUAUGUACGUUAUGAAUAAGGAUCGGCUAACUCCGUGCCAGCAGCCGCGGUAAUACGGAGGAUCCGAGCGUUAUCCGGAUUUAUUGGGGUUAAAGGGAGCGUAGAUGGGUUGUUACGUCAGUUGGGAAAGUUUGCGGCUCAACCGUAAACUUGCCAUUGAUACUGGCAGUCUUGAGUACAGUUGAGGUAGGCGGAAUUCGUUGUGUAGCUGUGAACUGCUUAGCUCUCACG
RNAcentral lists this ribosomal RNA (366 nucleotides) under uncultured bacterium. RNAcentral describes it as "partial 16S ribosomal RNA". It matches the Rfam family "Bacterial small subunit ribosomal RNA", at positions 338 to 701 of the family's 1533-position model. The record is from RNAcentral.